AAAAGUUCUGCAGGCAUAAAGGUUUGGUCCUAGCCUUAUAGUCAACUGUUACUCGACUUACACAUGCAAGUAUCCGCACACCCGUGAGAACGCCCUUUCAACCUUAUUAGGAUAAGGAGCUGGUAUCAGGCACAGAACACCUUGCCCAUAACACCUAGCUAUGCCACGCCUUCAAGGGUAUUCAGCAGUGAUAAACAUUGUCAAUAAGCGCCAGCUUGACCCAGUCAGAGUAAAUAGAGCCGGCCAACCCGGUGCCAGCCGCCGCGGCUAUACCGUCGGGCCCAAGUUGACCAGUGUCGGCGUUAAGCGUGUUUAAAGUGAUAACAUAAAUUAGAAUUAAAUUCUAACCAAGUUGUGACACACUUGCUACGAAGAAACCCAAAAACGAAAGUUAUUUUAACUAAUUCACUUGAAUCCACGACAGCUAGGGUACAAACUGGGAUUAGGUACCCCACUAUGCCUAGCCGUAAAACAUCAACUCACAUUAUUAACCGCCAGGGAAUUACGAGCCCAAGCUUAAAACCCAAAGGACUUGACGGUGCCCCACCCACCUAGAGGAGCCUGUUCUAUAAUCGAUUCUCCCCGAUAUACCUCACCACUUCUAGCCCAAUCAGCCUGUAUACCUCCGUCGUAAGCUUACCAUAUGAACGCUAAACUAGUGAGCCAAAAGAUCUAUCAUCAAUACGUCAGGUCAAGGUGCAGCUUACGAAGUGGGAAGCAAUGGGCUACAGUUUCUAACCUAGAACAAACGAAAGACUACAUGAAACAUAGUCAUGAAGGCGGAUUUAGUAGUAAAAAGAAAAUAGAGAGUUCUUUUUAAUUAGGCGCUGGGACGCGUACACACCGCCCGUCACCCUCUUCAAACGCAACAAUAUUGUUCAUAACAUCAAACUGCCACACAGAAGAGGUAAGUCGUAACAUGGUAAGCGUACUGGAAAGUGCGCUUGGAUUA
RNAcentral lists this non-coding RNA (952 nucleotides) under Kaloula sp. Vietnam. Its description in RNAcentral is "12S ribosomal RNA". It matches the Rfam family "Bacterial small subunit ribosomal RNA". Lineage: Eukaryota; Metazoa; Chordata; Amphibia; Anura; Microhylidae. The record is from RNAcentral.